GGAUCUCUUGGUUCUGGCAUCGAUGAAGAACGCAGCGAAAUGCGAUAAGUAAUGUGAAAAUUCAGUGAAUCAUCGAAUCUUUGAACGCACAUUGCGCCCUUUGGUAUUCCGAAGGGCAUGCCUGUUCGAGCGUCAUUUCACCACUCAAGCCUGGCUUGG
This 159-nucleotide ribosomal RNA is filed under the name Pseudocercospora eumusae. RNAcentral describes it as "5.8S ribosomal RNA". The stretch from base 1 to 135 matches the Rfam family "5.8S ribosomal RNA". Rfam says of the family: 5.8S ribosomal RNA (5.8S rRNA) is a component of the large subunit of the eukaryotic ribosome. It is transcribed by RNA polymerase I as part of the 45S precursor that also contains 18S and 28S rRNA. The record is from RNAcentral. Lineage: Eukaryota; Fungi; Ascomycota; Dothideomycetes; Mycosphaerellales; Mycosphaerellaceae.